CUACGUGCCAGCAGCCGCGGUAAUACGGAAGGUUCGGGCGUUAUCCGGAUUUAUUGGGUUUAAAGGGAGCGUAGGCCGGAGAUUAAGUGUGUUGUGAAAUGUAGACGCUCAACGUCUGACUUGCAGCGCGAACUGGUUUCCUUGAGUACGCACAACGUUGGCGGAAUUCGUCGUGUAGCGGUGAAAUGCUUAGAUAUGACGAAGAACUCCGAUUGCGAAGGCAGCUGACGGGAGCGCAACUGACGCUUAAGCUCGAAGGUGCGGGUAUCGAACAGGAUUAGAUACCCUGGUAGUCCGCACAGUAAACGAUGGAUGCCCGCUGUUGGUACCUGGUAUCAGCGGCUAAGCGAAAGCAUUAAGCAUCCCACCUGGGGAGUACGCCGGCAACGGUGAAACUCAAAGGAAUUGACGGGGGCCCGCACAAGCGGAGGAACAUGUGGUUUAAUUCGAUGAUACGCGAGGAACCUUACCCGGGCUUGAA
This 481-nucleotide ribosomal RNA is filed under the name uncultured bacterium. Its description in RNAcentral is "bacterial SSU rRNA". It matches the Rfam family "Bacterial small subunit ribosomal RNA", at positions 501 to 985 of the family's 1533-position model. The record is from RNAcentral.